GCAAGUCGAACGAAGUAGCAAUACUUAGUGGCAGACGGGUGAGUAACAUGUAGGUAUCUACCCUAUGGCCUGGAAUAACACGAGGAAACUUGUGCUAAUACUGGAUAAGUCUUUACGGAGAAAGCUUUAUGCACCAUUGGAUGAGCCUGCACUUGAUUAGUUUGUUGGUAGGGUAAUGGCCUACCAAGACUGUGAUCAAUAGCUGAUUUGAGAGGAUGAUCAGCCACAUUGGGACUGAGACACGGCCCAAACUCCUACGGGAGGCAGCAGUGGGGAAUCUUGCACAAUGGAGGAAACUCUGAUGCAGCGAUGCCGCGUGAGUGAAGAAGGCCUUUGGGUUGUAAAGCUCUUUCGUCGGGGAAGAAAAUGACUGUACCCGAAUAAGAAGGUCCGGCUAACUUCGUGCCAGCAGCCGCGGUAAUACGAAGGGACCUAGCGUAGUUCGGAAUUACUGGGCUUAAAGAGUUCGUAGGUGGUUGAAAAAGUUGGUGGUGAAAUCCCAGAGCUUAACUCUGGAACUGCCAUCAAAACUUUUCAGCUAGAGUUUGAUAGAGGAAAGCAGAAUUUCUAGUGUAGAGGUGAAAUUCGUAGAUAUUAGAAAGAAUACCAAUUGCGAAGGCAGCUUUCUGGAUCAUUACUGACACUGAGGAACGAAAGCAUGGGUAGCGAAGAGGAUUAGAUACCCUCGUAGUCCAUGCCGUAAACGAUGUGUGUUAGACGUUGGAAAUUUAUUUUCAGUGUCGCAGCGAAAGCAAUAAACACACCGCCUGGGGAGUACGACCGCAAGGUUAAAACUCAAAUGAAUUGACG
This 810-nucleotide ribosomal RNA is filed under the name uncultured marine bacterium. RNAcentral's name for it is "bacterial SSU rRNA". It matches the Rfam family "Bacterial small subunit ribosomal RNA", at positions 57 to 915 of the family's 1533-position model. The record is from RNAcentral.